UCGGAUUGCAGGCUGCAACCCGCCCUGCAUGAAGCUGGAAUCGCUAGUAAUCGCGGAUCAGAAUGCCGCGGUGAAUACGUUCCCGGGUCUUGUACACACCGCCCGUCACACCAUGGGAGUCGGUAACGCCCGAAGUCAGUGACCCAACCUUAAGGAGGGAGCUGCCGAAGGCGGGACUGGUAACUGGGGUGAAGUCGUAACAAGGUAUC
This 209-nucleotide ribosomal RNA is filed under the name uncultured bacterium. RNAcentral describes it as "partial 16S ribosomal RNA". It matches the Rfam family "Bacterial small subunit ribosomal RNA", at positions 1293 to 1500 of the family's 1533-position model. The record is from RNAcentral.